GGGUCAGUAGGUUGGUCGUGCCACCGGUACGUACUGGUCUCACUGAUUCCUCCUUCCUGAAGAACCGUAAUGCCAUUAAUUUGGUGUUGCGGGGAAACAGGACUGUUCCUUUGAAAAAAUUAGAGUGUUUAAAGCAAGCUAACGCUGGAAUUCAUUAGCAUGGAAUAAUGAAAUAGGACGAUCGAUCCUAUUUUGUUGGUUUCUAGGAUUGACGUA
RNAcentral lists this ribosomal RNA (216 nucleotides) under Glomeromycotina sp. RNAcentral describes it as "partial small subunit ribosomal RNA". The stretch from base 40 to 216 matches the Rfam family "Eukaryotic small subunit ribosomal RNA", at positions 686 to 864 of the family's 1831-position model. The record is from RNAcentral. Lineage: Eukaryota; Fungi; Glomeromycota.